AAUCUGGGUGAUUUUUGGAUAUCAGGGGGUGUAACUUUGUGUGAGGGUGACUGGUGACAGACUGUGAUGUGGAGAGGCUGUAAUUAGCCUCCCCACACUCACAUAGUUUGUUUCUUUUUAGUGUUCCAUUCCCUGGUGGUCCAGUGGCUGGCUCUACAGGUCUGCAGCUCCGCCGAGUGUGAGCUGCAGACCAAGUUAUCACGAGCUCGGAUUAG
Molecule: non-coding RNA, 215 nt
Organism: Pelobates cultripes (western spadefoot toad)
Lineage: Eukaryota; Metazoa; Chordata; Amphibia; Anura; Pelobatidae
Source: the annotation of a GenBank genome assembly